This 433-nucleotide ribosomal RNA is filed under the name uncultured bacterium. Its description in RNAcentral is "partial 16S ribosomal RNA". It matches the Rfam family "Bacterial small subunit ribosomal RNA", at positions 29 to 507 of the family's 1533-position model. The record is from RNAcentral.
AACGAACGCUGGCGGCAUGCCUAACACAUGCAAGUCGAACGAGACCUUCGGGUCUAGUGGCGCACGGGUGCGUAACGCGUGGGAACCUGCCCUUAGGUUCGGAAUAACUCCCCUAAAGGGGUGCUAAUACCGGUUAAUGUCUUCGGACCAAAGAUUUAUCGCCUUUGGAUGGGCCCGCGUUGGAUUAGCUAGUUGGUAGGGUAAAAGCCUACCAAGGCGACGAUCCAUAGCUGGUCUGAGAGGAUGAUCAGCCACACUGGGACUGAGACACGGCCCAGACUCCUACGGGAGGCAGCAGUGGGGAAUAUUGGACAAUGGGCGAAAGCCUGAUCCAGCAAUGCCGCGUGAGUGAUGAAGGCCUUAGGGUUGUAAAGCUCUUUUACCCGGGAUGAUAAUGACAGUACCGGGAGAAUAAGCUCCGGCUAACUCCGUG